GCCGGGUUAGCUCAGUUGGUAGAGCACUUGACUUGUAAUCAUGUGGUCGCGAGUUCGACUCUCGCACCCGGCUCCA
RNAcentral lists this transfer RNA (76 nucleotides) under Ilumatobacter coccineus YM16-304. RNAcentral describes it as "tRNA-Thr (TGT) (tRNA-Thr-TGT-1-1)". It matches the Rfam family "tRNA". Rfam says of the family: Transfer RNA (tRNA) molecules are approximately 80 nucleotides in length. The record is from RNAcentral. Lineage: Bacteria; Bacillati; Actinomycetota; Acidimicrobiia; Acidimicrobiales; Ilumatobacteraceae. RNAcentral also lists the same sequence under 4 other names.